GACGAACGCUGGCGGCGUGCCUAAUACAUGCAAGUCGAACGCUUCUUUCCUCCCGAGUGCUUGCACUCCAUUGGAAAGCGGAGUGGCGGACGGGUGAGUAACACGUGGGUAACCUACCCAUCAGAGGGGGAUAACACUUGGAAACAGGUGCUAAUACCGCAUAACAGUUUAUGCCGCAUGGCAUAAGAGUGAAAGGCGCUUUCGGGUGUCGCUGAUGGAUGGACCCGCGGUGCAUUAGCUAGUUGGUGAGGUAACGGCUCACCAAGGCCACGAUGCAUAGACGACGUGAGAGGGUGAUUGGCCACACUGGGACUGAGACACGGCCAAGACUACUACGGGAGGCAGCAGUAGGGAAUCUUCGGCAAUGGACGAAAGUCUGACCGAGCAACGCCGAGUGAGUGAAGAAGGUUUUCGGAUCGUAAAACUCUGUUGUUAGAGAAGAACAAGGACGUUAGUAACUGAACGUCCCCUGACGGUAUCUAACCAGAAAGCCACGGCUAACUACGUG
RNAcentral lists this ribosomal RNA (508 nucleotides) under uncultured bacterium. Its description in RNAcentral is "partial 16S ribosomal RNA". It matches the Rfam family "Bacterial small subunit ribosomal RNA", at positions 28 to 507 of the family's 1533-position model. The record is from RNAcentral.